This 399-nucleotide ribosomal RNA is filed under the name uncultured bacterium. RNAcentral describes it as "bacterial SSU rRNA". It matches the Rfam family "Bacterial small subunit ribosomal RNA", at positions 339 to 755 of the family's 1533-position model. The record is from RNAcentral.
CUACGGGAGGCAGCAGUGGGGAAUAUUGGACAAUGGGGGCAACCCUGAUCCAGCCAUGCCGCGUGAGUGAUGAAGGCCCUAGGGUUGUAAAGCUCUUUUGUGCGGGAAGAUAAUGACGGUACCGCAAGAAUAAGCCCCGGCUAACUUCGUGCCAGCAGCCGCGGUAAUACGAAGGGGGCUAGCGUUGCUCGGAAUCACUGGGCGUAAAGGGUGCGUAGGCGGGUCUUUAAGUCAGGGGUGAAAUCCUGGAGCUCAACUCCAGAACUGCCUUUGAUACUGAAGAUCUUGAGUUCGGGAGAGGUGAGUGGAACUGCGAGUGUAGAGGUGAAAUUCGUAGAUAUUCGCGAAGAACACCAGUGGCGAAGGCGGCUCACUGGCCCGAUACUGACGCUGAGCACG